This 199-nucleotide microRNA precursor is filed under the name Oryza nivara. RNAcentral's name for it is "MIR812 microRNA precursor family". The stretch from base 21 to 199 matches the Rfam family "MIR812 microRNA precursor family", at positions 26 to 205 of the family's 205-position model. The record is from Rfam by way of RNAcentral. Lineage: Eukaryota; Viridiplantae; Streptophyta; Magnoliopsida; Poales; Poaceae.
CUCCAUUCCAUUCCAUUUUAGUGCAGUGUGAGUUUCUGUGUUAUUUAAAACUUUUCUACCAUUAAUAUUUUUAUUGUUAUUAGAUAAUAAAACAUAAAUAGUAUUUUAUACGUCACUUAUUUUUUUAAUCUUCUCAUAAAUUUUUCAAAUAAGAAGUAUGGUUAAAAGUUGAACACGAAAAGCCACAACUACACUUGAA